CAGGUCCCCGAGGACCCAGUGAUGAGGGUGGGGGGUCCUGGCCGGGACCCCGCAGCGGGAGCAGGGUGCUGCGCUGCACGGGCGGCCGAGUAGCGCUGUGCCUGGGGGCGCUCGGCGGGGUCAGACAGGUGGGAACACCCGAAACCAGCUUGAGCUGAGGAAGCUGGUGCCUGGCUGCUGUUUAGGRAAAAAAACAUUUUUUGCUUGUGGCUUCUGGCUUUGCCCCUUGCCUUCUCAGCAGGGUGUCUGGGGGUUGCAGGUGUCCGUCCCCRUGGGGCAGCCGCCCUCCCGGGCAGGGGCAUCGGCUGCGGCGGGGUCGGGGUCGGGUCCGGACUGCAGCCGCGGGGGGGCUGUUGGGGUCGAGGGAAGGUUUGUGGUGCUGGAGCGGGAGCGCUGGCGCGUYGCUGGGGGUGUCGGUGCGCGGGUCCCUCUGGGCUCGCUGGUGCUGAAUGCAGCYGGGGCGCGCGCCCUCCCGGCAGGUGUCCCCCGGGGGCGAAGGCUGUUUCGGGGCUCAGGACCAGCCCCGCGGGGAGGCCCUCCCUGGGGAGGGCUCCAGGCAGGGCCGCGGUUUCUGCUGCUUUGUGCUUUGCUUGGAACGCGCCUCGCUUAGCUGAUGUUUCUUGGCAAGUAUUAAUUCUAGUGUGCUCCUCUGGGGAGAAAGGUGACUUUUCUGGCUGGCGAGGCUGAGCAGGGCUCCAGUUAGGGCAAGGCGCAGGAUUCGCAGGGGCAGCUAAACACUGGGGCUGAUUUGGGGCCGUGCGGGGCUGCGCCGUGCAGCCGCGAGCUCUCGCUGACUGGUCUCUCUCCCCAAGCAGGGAUGGAGGAGCCCCAGCCGCACCAGGGGGCCGGUGCAAACACCGCAGCGUCACCCCAGUGCCAGCUCUCGGACACUGCCACCAUGCGCAAAGCCAGGGAUAGCACAUCCGGCAGGAGGGGCUGCGUCCUUGUCCCCUCACCCGCACGAGGACUUUGGGGCCUCGGAGGUGUUUCCUGGUUUGUCCUGCCAGCAAGUGACAGCUGCUUUGGCCGGGUCGCUCURUGYUCCCGUCCCUGUGCGGCUGCCCCCCCCUCGGAGGAGCAGAGCGAGAACCGCACAUGCGGGCAACAGGCUGCGUCUGCUCUGCUCUGGAAAUGAAAGUGGGAGACAUCCACAACAGAGAGCGAGCGCCGUGGGGUUUGCUUAAUCCCUGACAGAAGAAGURGGACUCCCCAUGUGCAGAAGGACCCCUCGCCUCCCUCUGCCCUGCGAGUGCCCYGCUCCUGGCUGCGACGAGCUCCUGCCUGUGCCUGCGGCCUCCUUGGAAGUGGUGCUGGGAGUAUGGCUUGGGCUUGUUAUGACUCCAGCUUGGGGGCUCGUUACAGCUAUCUGGGCUUUUGACAAGGUCGUAAAUCAAUCACUGUCAUAACUUGCAUAUUAAUAUCAUCUUUAAUAUUGCAUACAUAUUGAACAAWUAGUUUAUGAACAMUGUACACAUAUUGAAUAAAUAUUCYGAGGCUUGUACA
This 1503-nucleotide long non-coding RNA is filed under the name Apteryx haastii (Great spotted kiwi). Its description in RNAcentral is "lncRNA (ENSAHAG00000006997.1)". Lineage: Eukaryota; Metazoa; Chordata; Aves; Apterygiformes; Apterygidae. The record is from RNAcentral.